CCUACGGGAGGCAGCAGUGGGAAAUAUUGCACAAUGGGCGCAAGCCUGAUGCAGCGACGCCGCGUGAGGGAUGACGGCCUUCGGGUUGUAAACCUCUUUCAGCAGGGAAGAAGCGAAAGUGACGGUACCUGCAGAAGAAGCACCGGCUAACUACGUGCCAGCAGCCGCGGUAAU
RNAcentral lists this ribosomal RNA (174 nucleotides) under uncultured bacterium. RNAcentral describes it as "partial 16S ribosomal RNA". It matches the Rfam family "Bacterial small subunit ribosomal RNA", at positions 338 to 524 of the family's 1533-position model. The record is from RNAcentral.